Molecule: unclassified non-coding RNA, 298 nt
Filed under: plant metagenome
Description: partial contains small subunit ribosomal RNA and internal transcribed spacer 1
Rfam family: Eukaryotic small subunit ribosomal RNA (bases 1-46)
Source: RNAcentral
AAGUCGUAACAAGGUUUCCGUAGGUGAACCUGCGGAAGGAUCAUUACAAAUAAAGCUGGGCAGUAAGGGUGGGAAUGUCUUGGGGGGUCAUUUGCAUUGCUUGAAUAAGGUUGGGGUUAAGGAAGGCCGAACAGUCCCGGGCUGCCCUCCCCGAAAAUGUCUUACAUGUCCCCCACAGCCUGAAGGCCGAAUUACAACCCUUGAUUAUCUACACUUGUUGCUUUGGGGUGCUCAAGUGCCCCAGAGGACCCAACUCUCUUGCAUUUAGUGACGUCUGAGUACUAUAUAAUAUUUAAAA